CUUUCUUGAAUUACUCUUUGGGCAAUAACCGGCUGAGAAGGGCCAAAGAAUGACCCAUAAUUAUCAGAAGGAAGUUUCUUCUUUAUCUCCUGGGAUUUGGAAACAGCAGGACCAUUUUCCCUCUGCAUUUUCUUCCUAAUUUGUUCUUUAAUUCGUUGCCUUAAUUCAAGAUAUUCAAUUGCCUCUGCACUUGGUUUUUGCUCUUCUUCCUCCUCAUAUUCCUCCUCCUCACCUUCUUCCUGUUGUUCAUAUCCUUCCUCCUCAUAUUCAUCAUAAUCUUCAAAAUCAUCUCUUUCAUAUCCCCGCAUUGCAGCUUAUUAUCUCCACUUCAAUCAAUCCAGAGAGCAGAGAGAAUUGCACCUUACAACUACUCAAAUUUUCUCCAGAUUCGAUGAAACUGGAUCGAAAUUGAGCGAUUUUCGAACUCGAAUCCAAACGCAGAUCUCGAAAAUGGCCGAAACGAACCGAAACGCGAAGAGAUAGCAAAGCGAUCUCUUAGAUCUAUAUGGCAAAGAG
RNAcentral lists this unclassified non-coding RNA (516 nucleotides) under Hevea brasiliensis (rubber tree). The record is from RNAcentral. Lineage: Eukaryota; Viridiplantae; Streptophyta; Magnoliopsida; Malpighiales; Euphorbiaceae.